RNAcentral lists this ribosomal RNA (854 nucleotides) under uncultured bacterium. RNAcentral describes it as "bacterial SSU rRNA". It matches the Rfam family "Bacterial small subunit ribosomal RNA", at positions 641 to 1498 of the family's 1533-position model. The record is from RNAcentral.
CUAGAGUUUGGUAGGGGAGACUGAAAUCCUGGUGUAGCGGUGGAAUGCGCAGAUAUCAGGAGGAACACCGAUGGCGAAGGCAGGUCUCUGGGCCAAUACUGACACUGAGGAGCGAAAGCGUGGGGAGCGAACAGGAUUAGAUACCCUGGUAGUCCACGCCGUAAACGGUGGGCGCUAGUUGUGCGAACCUUCCACGGUUUGUGCGACGCAGCUAACGCAUUAAGCGCCCCGCCUGGGGAGUACGAUCGCAAGAUUAAAACUCAAAGGAAUUGACGGGGCCCCGCACAAGCAGCGGAGCAUGCGGCUUAAUUCGACGCAACGCGAAGAACCUUACCAAGGCUUGACAUAUACAGGAGUAUGGCAGAGAUGUCAUAGCCGCAAGGUCUGUAUACAGGUGGUGCAUGGUUGUCGUCAGCUCGUGUCGUGAGAUGUUGGGUUAAGUCCCGCAACGAGCGCAACCCUCGUUCUGUGUUGCCAGCAUUAAGUUGGGGACUCACAGGAGACUGCCGGGGUUAACUCGGAGGAAGGUGGGGAUGACGUCAAAUCAUCAUGCCCCUUAUGUCUUGGGCUGCACGCAUGCUACAAUGGCUGGUACAAACGGCUGCGAUACCGCAAGGUGGAGCGAAUCCGAUAAAGCCAGUCUCAGUUCGGAUUGGGGUCUGCAACUCGACCCCAUGAAGUCGGAGUUGCUAGUAAUCGUAGAUCAGCAACGCUACGGUGAAUACGUUCCCGGGGCUUGUACACACCGCCCGUCACAUCACGAAAGUCGGUAACACCCAAAGUCAGUGGCCCAACCGUAAGGAGGGAGCUGCCAAAGGUGGGAUCGGUGAUUGGGAUGAAGUCGUAACAAGGUA